UCCCUCUUAGCUCAGUUGGUAGAGCGCGUCACUAGUAUCAGCGAUGACGAGGUCAGUCGUUCAAGUCGGCUAGAGGGAA
This 79-nucleotide transfer RNA is filed under the name Armillaria novae-zelandiae. RNAcentral describes it as "tRNA-Thr". It matches the Rfam family "tRNA". Rfam says of the family: Transfer RNA (tRNA) molecules are approximately 80 nucleotides in length. Lineage: Eukaryota; Fungi; Basidiomycota; Agaricomycetes; Agaricales; Physalacriaceae. The record is from RNAcentral.